UGUGCUUCAGAUAUAGUCACAUUUUUCGUAUUAAUAAGUAGCUCGCAUUAUUUUAUUGAUUUACAGUAGGUCAUAUGUCAAAAUCAAAAGAAAUAACAAGUUAAUU
Molecule: long non-coding RNA, 106 nt
Organism: Haliotis rubra (blacklip abalone)
Lineage: Eukaryota; Metazoa; Mollusca; Gastropoda; Lepetellida; Haliotidae
Exons: 3
Source: RefSeq, a predicted model, not a curated record